RNAcentral lists this ribosomal RNA (238 nucleotides) under uncultured Glomus. RNAcentral describes it as "partial 18S ribosomal RNA". The stretch from base 46 to 238 matches the Rfam family "Eukaryotic small subunit ribosomal RNA", at positions 693 to 887 of the family's 1831-position model. Lineage: Eukaryota; Fungi; Glomeromycota; Glomeromycetes; Glomerales; Glomeraceae. The record is from RNAcentral.
GGAUCAAAUUGUUGGUCGUGCUUCGGUACGCACUGGCAUUAUUGGUUCCUACCUUCUGAAGAACCGCGAUGUCAUUAAUUUGGUGUCGUGGGGAAUCAGGACUGUUACUUUGAAAAAUUAGAGUGUUUAAAGCAAGCUAACGCUUGAAUACAUUAGCAUGGAAUAAUGAAAUAGGACGUUCGAUCCUAUUUUGUUGGUUUCUUAGGAUUGACGUAAUGAUUAAUAGGGAGUAGUUGGG